AUUGAACGCUGGCGGCAGGCCUAACACAUGCAAGUCGAGCGAGAGGCGGACGGGGGAGAAAUGUAUGGGAAAAUGCAUGAUGGAGGGGGGUAAAAACAGGAAAAGGUAGCUAAUACAGCGUACCAUCAGAUGUGCGCAGAUGGGAUGAUCUCGUGGGUGGGGUAAAGGCUCACCUAGGCGACGAGCCCUAGCUGGUGUGAGAGGAUGACCAGCCACACUGGAACUGAGACACGGUCCAGACUCCUACGGGAGGCAGCAGUGGGGAAUAUUGCACAAUGGGCGCAAGCCUGAUGCAGCCAUGCCGCGUGUGUGAAGAAGGCCUUCGGGUUGUAAAGCACUUUCAUCGGGGAGGCGUUACCCGCAGAAGAAGCACCGGCUAACUCCGUGCCAGCAGCCGCGGUAAUAC
RNAcentral lists this ribosomal RNA (406 nucleotides) under uncultured bacterium. RNAcentral's name for it is "partial 16S ribosomal RNA". It matches the Rfam family "Bacterial small subunit ribosomal RNA", at positions 29 to 526 of the family's 1533-position model. The record is from RNAcentral.